UGCUACAAUAUUUCUAGGCUUUACUGUCCAG
RNAcentral lists this non-coding RNA (31 nucleotides) under Mus musculus (house mouse). The record is from RNAcentral. Lineage: Eukaryota; Metazoa; Chordata; Mammalia; Rodentia; Muridae.